UGUGAACGAACAUUCGUCUUUCUAUUUUUUUGGGCUUUUUCUAACCCAUAAAUUUCUUUUGAGUCAACCAAAUAGUCCCAGCUUGCAACUUAUGCUGUGUGGUAUUAUUGUCUGAAAAAUUAAGUAUGCAUGUAUAUUUUAUGUGUGUGCCCGUGCACACCUCUGCAUGAUGUUAAUCUCUGUGGGUCAUCUAUAUAUAUAUGUAGACAUAUCUGUGUGUGUGUGUGGAAUGCAACAUAUUGGAUUUAGGUUAUACUGUGCAUAGUUUUAUUGUCUGUUUUUAUCUGCGCUAUACCAUUUCUAUGCAGGCUCUGAAAGUUAUUCAUGAGAUUUAUAAGCAUUUUCCAUAAUUUAAGCUGUCUGUUUUGGGUUCUUUUUCAUUAGGUCAUUAGCUACUGAAUGAUGGAGAAAUGAGUACCAUGCCACUGAUUUUGGGUUCUUUUAAUAAUUUUCUGAUUUUGGCGUUUUGCAGGUAGUGUUGAUGUACUGAUUUUCUGGGAUUUUUUUGUCCUUGCAGGAUUUUUGGUCUUUGAAAUGGGUACAUGUUGUUUUUAACGUUUUGGUUCUCGUGUGUUCCGCUCUUCGUUGCUUCGUGAUUCUGAUUUUUCAGUGUUGGGUAAUGGAAAUUUGUAAAAAUAGUCGUAGUUUUUUGAGAAAGUUGGCAUUUUUAGUUAUAUUUUCUGUUUAAUCCCAACUGUGAGAUUGGAAAAUAAUUGAAAUGAUGGUUUUGUAUAAAAACACCUCUCAAUUUUUUUUCUGGGAUUUAAAAGCAUCUUUUCCCGAUUGUUUACAAGGGUUAUGUUCUCUAUAAUUGGUUCACCUAAUUUUGAUUAGUUUUAAGUUUUGUCCUUUAAGUUUUGUCUUCUGUGCUGUACUGAGAGAUUUCUGUUGGCCUUUCGGAUUUCGGCAUGGUCUCCACCCCACAUUUCACAAGUUCAAAUUCCAUAGAAGUCGGUUCUGCAGAUUGUGUCUGCAAUUAGAUCAGAGAUCAACUGCUCUUUUGUUAUCAUGCGGAAGAUUGCUUUUGGGAAGGAUCUGAAGCAGUUCCUCUCUGGAUAGGAGAAACAAAGAGGAUAACACUUAUAAUUGCCCCUCCCCAUCGGCCUUCUUUAAAUUUGGAUCACAAGAAGGGAGCAACAUAGGUAUUGAUCAUGGUGUUUCCUUGUUAAUUUGGAAAUGGUUAAUGUAAAUAAUUGGACAAAAGAGCCAAACAAACCCUUUUCUCUCAAAUCGAGAUGAUGAUGUGGUCGACGGCCACCAGCCCCAACUCAAGAGUUUGGCCUUCUGUAUAAUCGGAUUAUAGGAUAAUUUUAUUUUAGUCCAUUUCUUUUUUUCCUUUAUAUAAGUGCAGAUGUUGUGAUGUU
Molecule: RNA transcript, 1364 nt
Organism: Pyrus x bretschneideri (Chinese white pear)
Lineage: Eukaryota; Viridiplantae; Streptophyta; Magnoliopsida; Rosales; Rosaceae
Gene name: coatomer subunit beta'-1-like
Exons: 3
Source: RefSeq, a predicted model, not a curated record